UACGAAAGGGGCUAGCGUUGCUCGGAAUCACUGGGCGUAAAGCGCACGUAGGCGGCUUCUUAAGUCAGGGGUGAAAUCCUGGAGCUCAACUCCAGAACUGCCUUUGAUACUGGGAGGCUCGAGUCCGGGAGAGGUGAGUGGAACUGCGAGUGUAGAGGUGAAAUUCGUAGAUAUUCGCAAGAACACCAGUGGCGAAGGCGGCUCACUGGCCCGGUACUGACGCUGAGGUGCGAAAGCGUGGGGAGCAAACAGG
This 253-nucleotide ribosomal RNA is filed under the name uncultured bacterium. RNAcentral describes it as "partial 16S ribosomal RNA". It matches the Rfam family "Bacterial small subunit ribosomal RNA", at positions 524 to 776 of the family's 1533-position model. The record is from RNAcentral.